UGGGGAAUAUUGCACAAUGGGGGAAACCCUGAUGCAGCGACGCCGCGUGAGCGAAGAAGUAUUUCGGUAUGUAAAGCUCUAUCAGCAGGGAAGAUAAUGACGGUACCUGACUAAGAAGCCCCGGCUAACUACGUGCCAGCAGCCGCGGUAAUACGUAGGGGGCAAGCGUUGUUCGGAAUUACUGGGCGUAAAGGGCAUGUAGGCGGCUCUGUAAGCCUGGCGUGAAAGUCACCGGCUCAACCGGUGGAUUGCGCUGGGAACUGCGGGGCUUGAAUCAUGGAGAGGGAGCUAGAAUUCCAGGUGUAGGGGUGAAAUCUGUAGAGAUCUGGAAGAAUACCAGUGGCGAAGGCGAGCUCCUGGCCAAUGAUUGACGCUGAGGUGCGAAAGUGUGGGGAUCAAACA
This 402-nucleotide ribosomal RNA is filed under the name uncultured prokaryote. Its description in RNAcentral is "bacterial SSU rRNA". It matches the Rfam family "Bacterial small subunit ribosomal RNA", at positions 355 to 774 of the family's 1533-position model. The record is from RNAcentral.